UCCUAGCGGCUCUCUCUCUCUCUCUCUCUCUCCCCUCUUUUUUAAGCAGCCGCCUUUCCCCGGCGGCCGGCGGCCGGCGACGCCAUGCUCCACCUCCGGCAGUGCCUCCUCCCGCUGCUCCGCGCCGCCGCCGCCGCCCAUCCCCACACCUCCGCCGCAUCCUCCUCCUCUCUCCACCUCAGCCGCCGCCUCUUCUCCACCGCCGCCGGGCCCGACACCGCGCCCCCCUUCUCCGUCGAGGAGUACCUCGUCGCCACCUGCGGCCUCACGGGCGCCCAGGCGCUCAAAGCGUCCAAGAAGCUCUCCCACCUCAGGUCGCCCGCCAAGCCCGACGCCGUGCUCGCCGUCCUCUCCGGCGUCGGCCUCUCCCGCGCCGACCUCGCCGCCGUGGUCGCCGCCGACCCGAUGCUGCUCUGCGCCAGGGCGCGCAACGUCGCCCGCCGGCUGCAUUCGCUCCGCGACCGCGUCGGUCUGUCCGAUGCCGACGUCGCCCGUUUCCUCCUCGCCGGCGGCGCAAUGGGCCUCCGCAAAUGCGACAUCGCCCCGAGGCUCGAGUUCUGGAUCGGCUUCGUCGGAUCGUUCGACAAGCUCCUACCGGCACUGAAGGGGAACAACGGAAUCCUCAUGAGUGACCUGGACAAGGUCGUGAAGCCGAACAUCGCGCUGCUCCAGGAGUGCGGGCUAAGUGUUUGUGAAAUUGCCAAGCUGUCUACGCUCAAGUGGACGGUGCUGUCGUUGAGUCCAGAGCGAGUCAAGGCGUCGGUGCUGUGCGUCGAGAAGUUGGUCGUGCCCCGCUCCUCGGAUCGGUUCAAGCACGUGCUCAAGUCCGCCUGUUGGAUCUCCGAAGAUAUGCUCGCCAUGAAAAUGGAGUUCUUGAGGAGCACUCUUGGUUGCUCCGAGGACAAGCUCCGUGCCGCGGUCUGCAUUUCGCCACAUAUUUUCUACCUGUCCGACAAGAACCUUUGCCGAAAGAUAGACUUCCUGAUCUCCGAGGUUGGCUUGGAGCGUGAGUUCAUUGUGGAAAGGCCUUGGGUGCUCGGCUACAGCCUCGAGAAGCGUAUGGUGCCACGGCAUUCUGUCAUGAAGAUCCUGAGGACCAUGGGAUUGAUGAAGGAUGCUGUUGACUUCAGCAGUUCACUUGUUUACUCUGAGAAAAAAUUCGUUGCAAGAUACAUUGAUCCUUACAAGCAAGCAGCUCCCACGCUCGCAGAUUCCUACGCUGCUGCUUGUGCCGGGAAAAUGCCUGCUCAUGUUCACCGUUGAAUGUAGAUUUUCCCAGGUUCGUCCUUUAUCUGAUGCUAAUUGCUAGCAUUGUGCCUUAUGUUGUUAUGCUCAUCACUAAAUGUUUAUUCAUGGCAAAUUAAAUAUUGGCUUUUAUCCGUAGAACUAAUGGUCAUCCGGAGUACUCAUAAUGUGAUCUUCUCUUUAUGUUUCAAUCUUGGAUAUCUGUAUCUCAUGUUAUGUUGCUUUCUUUUACUUGAGAAGCAGCGAUUGAGCAGUAUCAUUAAUAUAUGUAACUCUUCUAGCAUUUUCUGCUUCCUAAGGAUGUGCCCUGUUUUUAAUCAGAUAUUGGCUUUCCUUAUUGUGAUUAUCUGCACGGUUGUGGGCUUUUGGCAUGGGUAAUUUAUAUAGGGAUGGGACAUUCCAUCAGACUAUCAUGUAGAGCUGGUAUUUACCGAAUCAUCAUAUAAAGCUGGUAGCUAAACAUAAAUUAAAUAUUUAUGCUUGAUGACAAACUGAUGUAGUGCUGUACAGAUUUUGAAAGGCUAGGAGCUAAGAAUGACUAAUGUUGCUAACUUGCUAUCAACAACAACGUGGGAAUCCUUUAACCUGUUGAGUCUUGUAAUAUCAUUCCUCAAAAUAUUCCUUCUGUUACAAUUUUGUCCUAAUUACUACAGGUGGGGGAUUAUUUUCGUGUUUAUUUUCCUCCAAAGACCCAAUUUGAAAAUUCAGUUAUUAGUUGAUGGCCCCUUCUGUUGGUGGCAAUGUGGAAAUAACACUUCCAAUAUUAUAUUUGAAAAACCCAUUCUUGGUGGCAAUGUGGAAAUAACACUUCCAGUAUUAUAUUUGUUCCAUUAUCUACUUUUCUUCUGUUGAACUGUUAAUUGCUUAAACUCUCUUUUACAUUAUUUCUCUAAUCCAAUGUGGUCUUAAUAGUUUCCAUUGUUCAUCUCUAAUCUUUUUGGAAACAUGAAAAGAAUCGAUCAAACUAAAUAUAUAGUAAUGGUCAGUUAAGUGAAUAUAAACAUGUGGCAAGCUGUUUGAACGAGGUAACUCAUUCAUCCAUUUCAAGAUGCUUUCAAGGAACCUCAAGAUACUUGGCUGACAUUAUAACUUUUCAUCGACAUUGUUUGUACCUUCUUUUUGUGCGUGUAUUUUGUUGUGAGAUGAUUUUUUUUGAAUUGUUCAUAACCAUUUAGAUAACAUACAGGAAACGAGUGCAUGUGCACUUAAGUUAUAAAUUGACUUCCCCCUUGGUUUUUUUUUCUAUACAUGUAGCAUUAUACAUCUUGUUUCUUCAGGUUGCUGCUAAUAUCUUGUGCUGUUUUUUGAGGCGGGCUACAGAGGAGGCAAGCUUGUAGAAACCUUCCAAGAUGACCAAGCAUGUAACAUUUGAUCGUUUUGCUACCUAGGAUGCAUGUUUGAUGAUAAAUAUGAUAGCAAGUUCCUUGAUCAAGAAAAGAAAAACAACAAGAAGAAAGCAAGUUGGGGGGCCAUGCAUCAACUGUUGUGGUGAAAUGAUGUUCCUGUAUUUUUCUCCCCAUUAUCUGAUAAGUAAAGAGUAUAAUAAAAAAAAAUUGUGAUGGAAGAUUUGACAA
This is a non-coding RNA of Oryza sativa Japonica Group (Japanese rice), 2819 nucleotides long. Lineage: Eukaryota; Viridiplantae; Streptophyta; Magnoliopsida; Poales; Poaceae. The record is from RefSeq and is a predicted model, not a curated record.